GAUGAACGCUGGCGGCGUGCCUAAUACAUGCAAGUCGAGCGAACGGACGAGAAGCUUGCUUCUCUGAUGUUAGCGGCGGACGGGUGAGUAACACGUGGAUAACCUACCUAUAAGACUGGGAUAACUUCGGGAAACCGUAGCUAAUACCGGAUAAUAUUUUGAACCGCAUGGUUCAAAAGUGAAAGACGGUCUUGCUGUCACUUAUAGAUGGAUCCGCGCUGCAUUAGCUAGUUGGUAAGGUAACAGCUUACCAAGGCAACGAUGCAUAGCCGACCUGAGAGGGUGAUCGGCCACACUGGAACUGAGACACGGUCCAGACUCCUACGGGAGGCAGCAGUAGGGAAUCUUCCGCAAAGGGCGAAAGCCUGACGGAGCAACGCCGCGUGAGUGAUGAAGGUCUUCGGAUCGUAAAACUCUGUUAUUAGGGAAGAACAUAUGUGUAAGUAACUGUGCACAUCUUGACGGUACCUAAUCAGAAAGCCACGGCUAACUACGUG
RNAcentral lists this ribosomal RNA (497 nucleotides) under uncultured bacterium. RNAcentral describes it as "partial 16S ribosomal RNA". It matches the Rfam family "Bacterial small subunit ribosomal RNA", at positions 28 to 507 of the family's 1533-position model. The record is from RNAcentral.